AAUGAACGUUGGCGGCGUGGAUUAGGCAUGCAAGUCGAGCGCUCAUAGCAAUAUGGGAGCGGCGAACGGCGUAGUAAUACGUAGGAACGUACCCUCGGGUCGAGGAUAGCUAUGGGAAACUGUAGGUAAUACUCGAUAACCUCUGCGGAGCAAAGGUGUGAUUCCGCCCGAGGAGCGGCUUACGCGAUAUUAGCUAGUUGGUAGGGUAAUGGCCUACCAAGGCGAUGAUGUCUAGGGGGUGUGAGAGCAUGGCCCCCCACGACCGGAACUGAGAUACUGUCCGGACACCUACGGGUGGCUGCAGUCGAGAAUCUUCCGCAAUGGACGAAAGUCUGACGGAGCGACGCCGCGUGCGGGAUGAAGGCCCUUGGGUUGUAAACCGCUGUCAGAGGGGAUGAAAUCUUCGGAGGUACUCCUCCGAAGUUGACAGAGCCUCAAAGGAAGCACGGGCUAAGUACGUG
RNAcentral lists this ribosomal RNA (461 nucleotides) under uncultured bacterium. Its description in RNAcentral is "bacterial SSU rRNA". It matches the Rfam family "Bacterial small subunit ribosomal RNA", at positions 29 to 507 of the family's 1533-position model. The record is from RNAcentral.